UUGAAAGGGAAACGAUUGAAGUCAGUCGUACCGCGAAAAAUCAACCUUUUAAGUAUGAUCUUGUUGGCGUUUGAGAGCUUAACAGUCUCUACGUUUUCAAGUUUGUUUUUUUUUGGCGUACUUUUUCGUAUGGUAGGUCAACGUCAAUUUCUGUCGUUAUAAAUGACUGGAGUAAUGUAGCUUCGAUCUCGUAUUGAAGUAUUAUAGACUCUGGUAGAUGUAAUGAACGGGAUUGAGGAUUGCAACGAAUACCUUUUAGGCUAUUCGUCUGAUCUCUAAUUGUUGCCUUGGUACCGAAAGCUUGCUUAUGGUUAUUGAGGUGGAUGGUUAAAAGGUAGAACGGAUUAAAUUCGUUAAGGA
RNAcentral lists this ribosomal RNA (360 nucleotides) under Glomus sp. rp29. RNAcentral's name for it is "eukaryotic LSU rRNA". The record is from RNAcentral. Lineage: Eukaryota; Fungi; Glomeromycota; Glomeromycetes; Glomerales; Glomeraceae.